GUUUCUGUAUAGGGGUGAAAUGCCAGUCGUUUAAUAUAUAUCUGGUUCUUUAUGAUUUGAAUUCAAUUCUAUCUUUGUUGUGAAGAUAAUAAAGGUAAUAUUUUGGGGCAAAAGCUCAGGAAUGUUUAAUUUAAAUAUGUUUAAUUUAUUGGGAAGUGGGCUUGAAAGUGGCUGACUUAUAAGUUUGUUAUAGAAUACAAAUGUGUAGGAAGACUAUUUUUAUAGGAUUUAUUUUUGUAAGUGGGGUAUUUUAAUAUUAUUGUCAAAUUAAAAAUUAUGAUAAAAUUAGUAGUAUUGGAUGUUUAGGCGAUUGGUAUGUUCUGUGUAAUCGAGUUAUAGUUAGAUUGAGAAGUGACAAAGGAAUUCGGCAAAUGAUUCCUCUUGCCUGUUUAUCAAAAACAUGUCUCUAUGUUUUAAAUGUAGAGUCUGGCCUGCCCACUGAUUAAUUUAAAGGGCUGCGGUAUUUUGACCGUGCAAAGGUAGCAUAAUCAGUAGUCUUUUAAUUGGAGGCUGGAAUGAACGGUUGGACAAAGGGGUGACUGUCUUCUGUUAUUGAAUUUGAAUUUAAUUUUUAUGUGAAAAAGCAUAAGUGUUUGAAAGGGACGAGAAGACCCUAUAAAACUUUAUAUAUAAUUUAGUUUAUAAGAUGAAGUUAAAUUGUAGGCUAAAGGAGGUAUUGGAUUGGGGUGAUUGAGAUAUAAGUUGUAAAUAACUGUCUUUGGAUACGAAAUAACUAUAGGUAGAUGAUUGGUCUUAAAUUUUAGAUUAAAAGUUUAAGUUACUUUAGGGAUAACAGC
Molecule: ribosomal RNA, 797 nt
Filed under: Metabetaeus mcphersonae
Lineage: Eukaryota; Metazoa; Arthropoda; Malacostraca; Decapoda; Alpheidae
Description: partial 16S ribosomal RNA
Rfam family: Archaeal large subunit ribosomal RNA (bases 341-589)
Source: RNAcentral